Lolium rigidum is the source of this 1366-nucleotide long non-coding RNA. RefSeq lists it as uncharacterized. The transcript has 2 exons. Lineage: Eukaryota; Viridiplantae; Streptophyta; Magnoliopsida; Poales; Poaceae. The record is from RefSeq and is a predicted model, not a curated record.
GAUUUGCUAACCGCGUGUAUACGUGAGCACGCAUCCAUUACCGUUGGAUUCGCUUUGAGAUUCUGACCUCACAAACGGACACCAAACGUCGUUAAGCUGCCUUUUCAAGUUGAUGCCGUCCUCUUUUUUUCCUCCCCAGCGCUCCUCAGUGGCUUCUGCACGCACUGGAAGACCUCCGGCUAGCCCCUCGCGCCAGCACCUCCGGCUAGCCCCCAGCGCCAUCACCUUCGACCAUGCCAAAUUGGAGGCUAAAUUGGAAGCAGGGGAGGCCGAAUUGGAGUGGACAGGAGCGGCUCGCCCGGGUCAGGAGCACGACUGCACGAGCCACAGGCGAGCCCCUGUCCCCCAACGCCGAGGAGCCCCGAUUACUUCGCCGCGUCGCGCCGGACCUAUGCCCCCGCGCCGCGCCCAAUCUUCGCCGGAUCCCAGGACGGCGACGCGUCCGGGUCCGCUCGAUCCCAGCCACGCCAUGGACACAGGUGGAUUCCUCUGGGAGGGCCGGCUCCGGCGGCGGUGCACCGCCACUCCUCUUACUUUCUAUGAAUACGGCCUGUGUCGCCGUGCCGCUCUCCCGUGGGCACUAGAGUCGCCGCUUGGAGGAGGGCCGGGCCGCCCUAGGUCCCCAGAUGUGGUCGCCGGCGAGCGUCCAAGCAAAGCGGCGCACCUCAUCUGAUCCUCGCCAGUCUCCGACGCCUGCGACGCCACAAGUCCGUGAUGGCACAGCCCACGGCUGGGUGUUCGUCAUCGACAAGACGCUGCUCUCCAACCUCGCCCCCACUACUGCAGGACGGAUACAGUGAAACUGUAGGAGGCUGGGUGGAGAGCAUGCACUGGAGGAGAAGCGUCGAUGGCAUCGGCCGGCUUCUUCCCAAGCACGAUGAGCCCGGCCGGUCAACGGGGGGCGCGGGGCGCCGCCGCCGUUCGCGAUGCAGGUGCGGGUACUAGGGAGGUCGACCUCCGCCCCUCCUCCGUGAAUGGGGAGGCCGGGCACUCGGGCGGUCCCGCUUCCACCAGGUACUAUGUAGGGCCAGCUGGUAGUAUUAUCAACUACUACAAUGAUGAGCUUGUGAUUUGACAUGCUUUUUGAUCAAGUUUUAGUCGAGCUAAGAGUCAACAUUAUAGUUUGUCGUUAAUUGUGGAUCAGUGGGUCAUUAAAGUUCUACUUUUUAGAUACAUGAGAAUUCGGUUGGAGGGUGGACUGGUGGCAAUGCUCAAUGACACCCUGAUUGACAGUUCCAUGUAUGCAUUGCAGGAUUUGAGUACUGAGUUGUUACUCAUACCAGAUUCUGAAACUUUGUGUGCUUCAAGUGUCAGAAAAUGCACAUUUAACUAACAAUUUAAUUUACAGUUUUUUUCUAGAAAGUUA